RNAcentral lists this long non-coding RNA (202 nucleotides) under Nicotiana benthamiana. RNAcentral describes it as "long non-coding RNA (NBEN_LNC004325)". The record is from RNAcentral. Lineage: Eukaryota; Viridiplantae; Streptophyta; Magnoliopsida; Solanales; Solanaceae.
AAUGUAACUGCUUCACUAACUUGUGAACAGAAAUCAAGUUGUGUUUAAAAGAAGGAACUAGCAGUACAUUGUGAAGAGUAAUGGAAGGAGUUAAGGCAAGGAGCUAGUGCAAGUUACUUUUACUUUAUAGCCAUUUCGAAGAGUGACAAGAUAUGGCAGAGUUAGAGGUAUAAUGUUAAAAAGUAGUUGUUUAUCAUGUGNN